AUGGCUAUGACUAACCACAGGUCUGAGCUGAGACGUAAUGCAGAAACAGAUAUAAGAAUUGGGAUGUCUUCUACUAAGCCAGACAAUGAUUUGUUAUGGGAGAACUUGGCAGGAAGUCCUAGGGCGGGGAGGUGGGCACCCCCGGAGAUAGCCGCGGCCCGCAGCGAGUCUCGGGAUGGGGCCAAACCUGGCCUACGUGAGAUUCGCGUCCACUUCAGCCAGCACUCGUCGGGCAGCCAGGCCAGGGCGUCAGGGAACUCAUCGAGAAGCACUAUGUGGGGCUGAAGAAGGCGAACCCUGGCCUGCUUAUCCUAAUCCGCGAGUGUUCUGAUGUGCAGCCCAAACUCUGGGCCCGCUACGCAUUUGGCCAAGAGAAGAAUGUCUCUUUGAAUAGCUUCAGUGCUGAUCAGGUAACCAGAGCCGUGGAGAAUGUGCUAAGUGGCAAAGUCUGAAGCCUCCACUGAUUGUUAAGAGCAACAGCCCGACAGCUUGGGCUCUGUCGGACUGAGUACACUGUGAAAAAAGUGUUCUUCUGUUCUUUAUAAAGCUUGUGCCGA
Molecule: non-coding RNA, 557 nt
Organism: Leptonychotes weddellii (Weddell seal)
Lineage: Eukaryota; Metazoa; Chordata; Mammalia; Carnivora; Phocidae
Source: RefSeq, a predicted model, not a curated record